RNAcentral lists this transfer RNA (64 nucleotides) under uncultured eukaryote. It matches the Rfam family "tRNA", at positions 7 to 64 of the family's 71-position model. From Rfam's summary of the family: Transfer RNA (tRNA) molecules are approximately 80 nucleotides in length. Their secondary structure includes four short double-helical elements and three loops (D, anti-codon, and T loops). The record is from RNAcentral.
CGUGAUAGCUCAGUUGGGAGAGCGUGAGACUGAAGAUCUCAAGGUCAUGUGAUCGAUCCACAUU